RNAcentral lists this ribosomal RNA (305 nucleotides) under uncultured bacterium. RNAcentral's name for it is "bacterial SSU rRNA". It matches the Rfam family "Bacterial small subunit ribosomal RNA", at positions 334 to 656 of the family's 1533-position model. The record is from RNAcentral.
UACCCUACGGGAGGCAGCAGUCGGGAAUAUUGCGCAAUGGAGGAAACUCUGACGCAGUGACGCCGCGUAUAGGAAGAAGGUUUUCGGAUUGUAAACUAUUGUCGUUAGGGAAGAUACAAGACAGUACCUAAGGAGGAAGCCCCGGCUAACUAUGUGCCAGCAGCCGCGGUAAUACGUAGGUGGCAAGCGUUGUCCGGAUUUACUGGGUGUAAAGGGCGUGCAGCCGGAGAGACAAGUCAGAUGUGAAAUCCACGGGCUCAACCCGUGAACUGCAUUUGAAACUGUUUCCCUUGAGUGUCGGAGAG